AUUGAACGCUGGCGGCAGGCCUAACACAUGCAAGUCGAACGGUAACAGGAAGAAGCUUGCUUCUUUGCUGACGAGUGGCGGACGGGUGAGAAAUGUCUGGGAAACUGCCUGAUGGAGGGGGAUAACUACUGGAAACGGUAGCUAAUACCGCAUAACGUCGCAAGACCAAAGAGGGGGACCUUCGGGCCUCUUGCCAUCGGAUGUGCCCAGAUGGGAUUAGCUAGUAGGUGGGGUAACGGCUCACCUAGGCGACGAUCCCUAGCUGGUCUGAGAGGAUGACCAGCCACACUGGAACUGAGACACGGUCCAGACUCCUACGGGAGGCAGCAGUGGGGAAUAUUGCACAAUGGGCGCAAGCCUGAUGCAGCCAUGCCGCGUGUAUGAAGAAGGCCUUCGGGUUGUAAAGUACUUUCAGCGGGGAGGAAGGGAGUAAAGUUAAUACCUUUGCUCAUUGACGUUACCCGCAGAAGAAGCACCGGCUAACUCCGUG
Molecule: ribosomal RNA, 490 nt
Filed under: uncultured bacterium
Lineage: Bacteria
Description: partial 16S ribosomal RNA
Rfam family: Bacterial small subunit ribosomal RNA
Source: RNAcentral